RNAcentral lists this ribosomal RNA (465 nucleotides) under uncultured bacterium. Its description in RNAcentral is "partial 16S ribosomal RNA". It matches the Rfam family "Bacterial small subunit ribosomal RNA", at positions 338 to 795 of the family's 1533-position model. The record is from RNAcentral.
CCUACGGGAUGCAGCAGUGGGGAAUAUUGCGCAAUGGGCGAAAGCCUGACGCAGCGACGCCGCGUGAGGGAUGAAGGUCUUCGGAUCGUAAACCUCUGUCAGCAGGGAAGAACGGUCACUGUGCUAAUCAGCAGUGAAUUGACGGUACCUGCAAAGGAAGCACCGGCUAACUCCGUGCCAGCAGCCGCGGUCAUACGGAGGGUGCGAGCGUUAAUCGGAAUUACUGGGCGUAAGGCGCUCGUAGGCGGUAUGUCAAGUCAAGGGUGAAAUCCCCGCGCUCAACGUGGGAACUGCCUUUGAAACUGGCAAACUGGAGUGUGUGAGAGGAUAGUGGAAUUCCAGGUGUAGGAGUGAAAGCCGUAGAUAUCUGGAGGAACAUCAGUGGCGAAGGCGACUAUCUGGCACAUAACUGACGCUGAGGAGCGAAAGCGUGGGUAGCAAACAGGAUUAGAUACCCUAGUAGUC